RNAcentral lists this ribosomal RNA (316 nucleotides) under uncultured eukaryote. Its description in RNAcentral is "partial 18S ribosomal RNA". It matches the Rfam family "Eukaryotic small subunit ribosomal RNA", at positions 1470 to 1796 of the family's 1831-position model. The record is from RNAcentral.
CCCCUAGAUGUUCUGGGCCGCACGCGCGCUACACUGAACAGUUCAACAAGUCUUAACCUUGGCCGAUAGGUCUGGGUAAUCUUUGAACGCUGUUCGUGAUUGGGAUAGACCUUUGCAAUUAUGGGUCUUCAACGAGGAAUUCCUAGUAAACGCAAGUCAUCAGCUUGCAUUGAUUACGUCCCUGCCCUUUGUACACACCGCCCGUCGCUCCUACCGAUUUCGAGUGGUUCGGUGAACCUUUCGGACCGGCAAUGCCUCGUGUUGCGCCGGAAAGUCAAGUAAACCAUAUCACUUAGAGGAAGGAGAAGUCGUAACA